UGACCAUACCAAACUGUUGCCUCGGCGGGGUCACGCCCCGGGUGCGUCGCAGCCCCGGAACCAGGCGCCCGCCGGAGGGACCAACCAAACUCUUUCUGUAGUCCCCUCGCGGACGUUAUUUCUUACAGCUCUGAGCAAAAAUUCAAAAUGAAUCAAAACUUUCAACAACGGAUCUCUUGGUUCUGGCAUCGAUGAAGAACGCAGCGAAAUGCGAUAAGUAAUGUGAAUUGCAGAAUUCAGUGAAUCAUCGAAUCUUUGAACGCACAUUGCGCCCGCCAGUAUUCUGGCGGGCAUGCCUGUCCGAGCGUCAUUUCAACCCUCGAACCCCUCCGGGGGGUCGGCGUUGGGGAUCGGGAACCCCUAAGACGGGAUCCCGGCCCCGAAAUACAGUGGCGGUCUCGCCGCAUCCUCUCAUGCGCAGUAGUUUGCACAACUCGCACCGGGAGCGCGGCGCGUCCACGUCCGUAAAACACCCAACUUCUGAAAUGUUGACCUCGGAUCAGGUAUGAAUA
This 512-nucleotide ribosomal RNA is filed under the name Trichoderma gamsii. RNAcentral's name for it is "eukaryotic LSU rRNA". The stretch from base 157 to 310 matches the Rfam family "5.8S ribosomal RNA". Lineage: Eukaryota; Fungi; Ascomycota; Sordariomycetes; Hypocreales; Hypocreaceae. The record is from RNAcentral.